UUAACCGGAUUAGAUACCCUGGUAGUCCACGCCGUAAACGAUGUCGACUUGGAGGUUGUGCCCUUGAGGCGUGGCUUCCGGAGCUAACGCGUUAAGUCGACCGCCUGGGGAGUACGGCCGCAAGGUUAAAACUCAAAUGAAUUGACGGGGGCCCGCACAAGCGGUGGAGCAUGUGGUUUAAUCCGAUGCAACGCGAAGAACCUUACCUGGUCUUGACAUCCACGGAAGUUUUCAGAGAUGAGAAUGUGCCUUCGGGAACCGUGAGACAGGUGCUGCAUGGCUGUCGUCAGCUCGUGUUGUGAAAUGUUGGGUUAAGUCCCGCAACGAGCGCAACCCUUAUCCUUUGUUGCCAGCGGUCCGGCCGGGAACUCAAAGGAGACUGCCAGUGAUAAACUGGAGGAAGGUGGGGAUGACGUCAAGUCAUCAUGGCCCUUACGACCAGGGCUACACACGUGCUACAAUGGCGCAUACAAAGAGAAGCGACCUCGCGAGAGCAAGCGGACCUCAUAAAGUGCGUCGUAGUCCGGAUUGGAGUCUGCAACUCGACUCCAUGAAGUCGGAAUCGC
This 566-nucleotide ribosomal RNA is filed under the name uncultured bacterium. RNAcentral's name for it is "bacterial SSU rRNA". It matches the Rfam family "Bacterial small subunit ribosomal RNA", at positions 769 to 1335 of the family's 1533-position model. The record is from RNAcentral.